AUUAACCCCCACACGGAUACUGAGACACGGAUCCGACUCCUACGGGAGGCAGCAGUAAGGAAUAUUGGACAAUGCCCGCAAGGGUGAUCCAGCCAUGCCGCGUGCAGGAAGGCGGCCCUAUGGGUUGUAAACUGCUUUUACACCGGAGAAAACCCCACUACAUGUAGUGGGCUGAUAGUAUGGUGAGAAUAAGCAUCGGCUAACUUCGUGCCAGCAGCCGCGGUAAGACGGAGGAUGCAAGCGUUAUCCGGAUUCAUUGGGUUUAAAGGGAGCGUAGGUGGCCUUAUAAGUCAGUGGUGAAAUCUCUGGGCUUAACCCAGAAAUUGCCACUGAUACUGUAGGGCUUGAGUAUAGUUGCCGUUGGCGGAAUAUGACAUGUAGUGGUGAAAUACAUAGAGAUGUCAUAGAACACCGAUUGCGAAGGCAGCUGACGAAACUAUAACUGACACUGAGGCUCGAAAGUGUGGGGAUCAAACAGGAUUAGAUACCCUGGUAGUCCACACUGUAAACGAUGAUUACUCGCUGCUAGAGGGCAACUUUUAGUGGCUUAGCGAAAGCGAUAAGUAAUCCACCUGGGGAGUACGCCGGCAACGGUGAAACUCAAAGGAAUUGACGGGGGCCCGCACAAGCGGAGGAGCAUGUGGUUUAAUUCGAUGAUACGCGAGGAACCUUACCAGGGCUUGAAAGUUAGGGAAUAACUCUGAAAGGAGUUAGUCAGCAAUGACCCGAAACUAGGUGCUGCAUGGCUGUCGUCAGCUCGUGCCGUGAGGUGUUGGGUUAAGUCCCGCAACGAGCGCAACCCCUACCAUUAGUUGCCAGCGGUUCGGCCGGGGACUCUAGUGGAACUGCCCGCGCAAGCGGUGAGGAAGGUGGGGAUGACGUCAAGUCAUCACGGCCCUUACGUCCUGGGCUACACACGUGCUACAAUGGCUAUUACAGAGGGCAGCUACAUGGCAACAUGAUGCAAAUCUUCAAAAAUAGUCUCAGUUCGGAUUGGGGUCUGCAACUCGACCCCAUGAAGCUGGAUUCGCUAGUAAUCGCGCAUCAGCAAUGGCGCGGUGAAUACGUUCCCGGGCCUUGUACACACCGCCCGUCAAGCCAUGAAAGCUGGGAGUGUUUAAAGUCGGUAGCCGCAAGGCGCCGCCUAGAGUAAAACCGGUGAUUGGGGCUAAGUCGUAACAAGGUAGCCGUACCGGAAGGUGCGGCUG
Molecule: ribosomal RNA, 1208 nt
Filed under: metagenome
Description: bacterial SSU rRNA
Rfam family: Bacterial small subunit ribosomal RNA
Source: RNAcentral